AACCUAUUGCGAGGGCACCUUCUCAAUAAAUCCUUGUAUCUCUCCCAUGCAUCAUAAAGUAUUUCUAAAUCUAUUUGCACAAAAGAAGAGAUAUCAUUCCUCAAUUU
Molecule: small nucleolar RNA, 107 nt
Filed under: Gossypium hirsutum (cotton)
Lineage: Eukaryota; Viridiplantae; Streptophyta; Magnoliopsida; Malvales; Malvaceae
Description: Plant small nucleolar RNA R71
Rfam family: Plant small nucleolar RNA R71
About the family: R71 is a member of the C/D box family of snoRNAs containing the C (UGAUGA) and D (CUGA) box motifs. Multiple nearly identical copies of this snoRNA have been identified in Arabidopsis, and it is thought to function as a 2'-O-ribose methylation guide for 18S ribosomal RNA.
Source: Rfam by way of RNAcentral